This is a long non-coding RNA of Callithrix jacchus (white-tufted-ear marmoset), 2933 nucleotides long. RefSeq lists it as uncharacterized. The record is from RefSeq and is a predicted model, not a curated record. Lineage: Eukaryota; Metazoa; Chordata; Mammalia; Primates; Cebidae.
UGAGGGGAAGGAAGGAAGGAAGGAGGGGAGGCCAGUGGAAAUGCCUUAGUCAAGCCCUGGGACAGAGACCGCUUGUUUGCUUCAACUGUUUACUCUCAGGCUGAUGCAACCAUUUCUCUUGGAAAAUAUUUGUCUCCAGAAUUAUUUUGGGGGCAAAGCCUUGUGUUCCUGCUUGGGCAAGUUGGAGGACUGGCUGUUUCCCAGCAGUUUGUCUCUUCAGUGUGUGGACAGAGGCACAGCCCAUCUGUGGGCUUGGCCAGGGGGCCUCGUGGGGAAGUGGAGCCCCCGAGGCAGCCCCAUGGAGACCCUCAAAUCACGGUGGGGCCUGCAGCUGAUGCUCACAGAAACCCACUGCAGCAAUCACAUCUGCCACAUGUUCUGAGAGCUGCACCCUGCGCCAGGCAAAGGGACAGCACCUCUUUCCCUGAGGGUUGGAUGCAGAGCUGAAGAUGCACAGCUGAAGAUGCACAGCUGACUCGAAUCAGAAUCUGUAUGAGGAAACGAAAGUACAGAGAGGCAAAGCUCAUUCCCAAGACCACACCACCACUGCGGCCUGUUUAAUUCGAUUGUCACAGGUUCCUGGGUACACAAAAUGGUGGAACAGCUCAGAGAAAGACCGACAGAAAGAAAGAAAGCCUGACGAGAGAGAGAGAGAAUAAACUUCUGAGAGGUCAGGAACAUUUUUUGCAGAAAGAAAGACACUAAGCUGGCUUUGAAGCAUGAAAAGGACCUCCUCAGAGAGCAGGUGUGGUGACAGGUGUGAGACUUCCAGGCAGAGAGACCGGCUGGAGACGAGUGUGAUGUGAUGAGCCAUGGAGUGUCCGGGAUGCCACAGUCAUCAGUCUGGCUGGAUGGCUGUUCCUGGGGUGUCCACUAGGAGCCAGGCAUGGCGCUAGCGCAACCAUAAUAAGAGUGAGCUGGCUGAGUUGACAUCCUCCCAAAAUUCAUACAGUGAGACCCUAAACCUCAGUAUUUCAACGUGUGACUGUAUUUGGGAUAGAACCUUUAAAGAGGUUACUAAGUUAUGAUGAGGUCAUGGGGGGUGGCUAGUCCUAUAGGACUGGUGGAGAUUAGGGGAGAAGAAGUUAAAACCAGGCAUUUGCAGAUGAGGACCAUGUGAGGACAUAGGGAGAAGACAGCCACCUGCAAACCAAGGGGAGAGGCCUCAGGGAAACCAGCCCUGCAGAUCGUGGCCUGAUGUCACCCUGUGGGUGAGCUCAUUCCACACACAGGAGGGCCUGGAGGGUGUUGGAGAAGCAGCUGUGGAUAGAGGUGAGUGUCCUGGGAGGGCUGUGUGGAGGUAUCUACUGAUGUGGAGGCAGGAGGGUCAGAGACAGAAACGCUCCAGGGGACACUUGGAGUGUGGCGAGGAUGCACAAACUACGCUGCAAUUAGGAUGAAAGAGAUCAGACAACACACCGGCCUCCGGCUUAGGAUCUCUGUUACUGAACCACCGGCACAGCCACCUCCUCCUCUUGUCUCCUCCACACGCCCUGUGCAGGCCCACACAGGAGUUCCGUGGGGUCCCCUACACUUCACGGCUCACCACAUCACACACGUCUCCAGGUCUCACUCAUGUUCCCACACCUGCUAGAUGAAGUGUUUCUCAUGCUCCAAAGCCAGCUCAGUGUCCCCUCCUCCACAAACACCUGACUCCUCAGAGGUUCAUGCUUUCUGUCCGUCCAUCUCUCUCUGAGCUGCUCUGCCAUUUUGUCACCCAGGCUCAUGCAACAAUUGAGUUAAACAUCCUGCAAUGACCCACAGCAUGGUGCUUUCACGUGUGACACGUAGCAGAGGCCACGGAGAGCUCACCUCUGACCCCUCACACAGGGGCUGUUUUGUGACUGUUUGCUGAGUAAAGUUUGGACAGUGCUGGACCUUGGUCUUUUGUGUGACACACAGAAGGGCUUCCUUGUGACCUUGGACUGGUUGGGUAAACCUCGAGAAAAACAUUUGCCAGGACAGACAGGACAUGAUGCAAGGGAAAGCACCUAGGAGUGGAUGUCCUCACAAAGGGGCCCCAUCCUUAAGAGCCACCCUGAGCCCACAGCACACAUGCAGAAAAUGGUCUGUGUCUUGUUGCAGCCAUUUGCCCUGCCGCUAGCCCGUACAUGUGCCAUCUGGGCUGUUGGGGCUGGGCCCUCACUGUCACCAGCUGUGGGACCCUAGGAAAGCACUUAUGCUCUUGUCUAUAAAAUGGGAACAACGGUAGACUUUGCUGGUUGGUCAAGGGAUGGGUGAGAUCACAGGUGCAAAGUGUCUGGCAUGAGCUGUGUUUCUUUUUGAAAUAUUUUCUUAAAAAAAUGGGGUGGGCAGGUGCACUUCAGAGUGGAGUGGAAUGUAAUGGAAUGUGAGGCCUCAGUACUUUGGGGAUGGACAGGGCUUGGGGUCCUGACCUUUUUACCUCUAGUGGGCACUCAUCUCUGAUACAAUCCACACUCUAGAAUCUGAGGUGAGGGGGCACAGCUUCAUGGAAUCAUGCUGAGAGCAUGCAGAAUGGGGUGGGCAGGCGCACAAUGGGUUAGACUUGGGAGCAGUGAAGGACUCACCCAUUCAUUUGGUUAUGAGUGUCUGAUCCUCUUCAUUUCACAGAGCAGGAAACACGGGUUGCUUAGUGGAGGGAGGGAGGAAACUUACCUGGCUCAGUGGGAAUCUGGUGCUUGAGAUGCCCCCAAAUGAGCCUUCUGCUCCUGGUCAACUCUCCUCCACAGCACAGCACAGGACUGAGUGUAUAGCUCUGGGCCACACUCCCCCCACCGAAUUCUUGCUGCACCACUUAGGAGCUGUGUGACUGGGAUGAACUGACAGUUGUUGCUGAUAGGUGGGGACAAGCCUUGGACAUGUGCUUCCUGGUGGCCCUCGCCCAUUGGAACCGUCCUCCUGAGCUUUGUGGCACUGAGCUGGGCCUCAAGGGCCUGGACUCUGGACCUGUC